RNAcentral lists this long non-coding RNA (418 nucleotides) under Taeniopygia guttata (zebra finch). RNAcentral describes it as "lncRNA (ENSTGUG00000023366.1)". The record is from RNAcentral. Lineage: Eukaryota; Metazoa; Chordata; Aves; Passeriformes; Estrildidae.
AAAGCAGGAAGAUGAGCUACUAGAUGAACUAAUAGAUGAACAGAAAUUCCUUCUCCAUGGGCAACUGAAAGAGUUUCUGUACAGGGCUUUUACUUCAGACUAGUCCUAAUCUACUUCAGACCAGUUUUACAGGCUGAGCACAUAUUUUUUGAAGCAAACCUCUCCAAUAAGCUUCAUCCAAAAUGGUUCCAGUUUGUGCACUCAAGAAACCAGACAAUGAUCCAGACAAAAUGUGGAAAACAAACCUUCCUGCUCCACCCUGAGGAGGAAUUUACAACAGCUUCAGGUAAAUAAACUUUGUGAACAUAGCAAGUUAGAUGAAGUUGGAAUACCUACAGUCGAAGAAAGCAAUAUUUUGAAGUAAACAGUGCUACAGACAAGUGUAGAGAGAAUGUUGUUAUUGUUACAACAAUCACAG